Oncorhynchus tshawytscha (Chinook salmon) is the source of this 676-nucleotide long non-coding RNA. Lineage: Eukaryota; Metazoa; Chordata; Actinopteri; Salmoniformes; Salmonidae. The record is from Ensembl.
CCCCAUUUCGAUACAGGUGCAUGAUAAUGGUCCAUUCUAAAUCAAAACUAAUUUGACACACAUAUAAUUUAGUAUAUGUAAAGACAAGAUUAAAUUAAGAAUAGUGUGAUGGGUGACAAUAUUAGCCUAUCACUUGUGGAUUAUGUAUUAUCACAUGCGAAUGACGCCCAGCUUGUGCAGUAAGGCGAGGAAUAACUCAUGCGUUUUUUUGCGACUUCUUCAAAUCGUAGGUCGCACACCGUAUGUAGCCCAGCCCAUAGGCCUAUAUGUUUUGAUAAGUUUUUUAUCACAACUAAAGUGGCCAAAUAACUCCUUAAAACGAAGCACAGGGAGCGCAGGUAGUCUAGUGGUUAGAGUGUAGGGGCGGCAGGUAGCCUAGUGGUUAGAGCGUAGGGGCGGCAGGUAGCCUAGUGGUUAGAGCGUAGGGGCGGCAGGUAGCCUAGUGGUUAGAGCGUAGGGGCAGCAGGUAGCCUAGUGGUUAAAGUGUAGGGGCGGCAGGUAGCCUGGUGGUUAGAGCGUAGGGGCGGCAGGUAGCCUGGUGGUUAGAGCGUAGGGGCGGCAGGUAGCCUGGUGGUUAGAGCGUAGGGGCGGCAGGUAGCCUAGUGGUUAGAGUGUAGGGCGGCAGGUAGCCUAGUGGUUAGAGUGUAGGGGCGGCAGGUAGCCUAGUGGUUAAAGC